RNAcentral lists this ribosomal RNA (470 nucleotides) under Salmonella enterica. Its description in RNAcentral is "partial 23S ribosomal RNA". It matches the Rfam family "Bacterial large subunit ribosomal RNA", at positions 2334 to 2803 of the family's 2925-position model. The record is from RNAcentral. RNAcentral also lists the same sequence under 2 other names. Lineage: Bacteria; Pseudomonadati; Pseudomonadota; Gammaproteobacteria; Enterobacterales; Enterobacteriaceae.
GACAUCAGGAGGUUAGUGCAAUGGCAUAAGCCAGCUUGACUGCGAGCGUGACGGCGCGAGCAGGUGCGAAAGCAGGUCAUAGUGAUCCGGUGGUUCUGAAUGGAAGGGCCAUCGCUCAACGGAUAAAAGGUACUCCGGGGAUAACAGGCUGAUACCGCCCAAGAGUUCAUAUCGACGGCGGUGUUUGGCACCUCGAUGUCGGCUCAUCACAUCCUGGGGCUGAAGUAGGUCCCAAGGGUAUGGCUGUUCGCCAUUUAAAGUGGUACGCGAGCUGGGUUUAGAACGUCGUGAGACAGUUCGGUCCCUAUCUGCCGUGGGCGCUGGAGAACUGAGGGGGGCUGCUCCUAGUACGAGAGGACCGGAGUGGACGCAUCACUGGUGUUCGGGUUGUCAUGCCAAUGGCACUGCCCGGUAGCUAAAUGCGGAAGAGAUAAGUGCUGAAAGCAUCUAAGCACGAAACUUGCCCCGAG